UACGUAGGGUGCAAGCGUUAAUCGGAAUUACUGGGCGUAAAGCGUGCGCAGGCGGUUAUGCAAGACAGAUGUGAAAUCCCCGGGCUUAACCUGGGAACCGCAUUUGUGACUGCAUAGCUGGAGUACGGCAGAGGGGGAUGGAAUUCCGCGUGUAGCAGUGAAAUGCGUAGAUAUUGGGAGGAACACCGGUGGCGAAGGCGGCCCUCUGGACCGGUACUGACGCUGAUGCGCGAAAGCGUGGGGAGCAAACAGG
RNAcentral lists this ribosomal RNA (253 nucleotides) under uncultured bacterium. Its description in RNAcentral is "partial 16S ribosomal RNA". It matches the Rfam family "Bacterial small subunit ribosomal RNA", at positions 524 to 776 of the family's 1533-position model. The record is from RNAcentral.